RNAcentral lists this ribosomal RNA (502 nucleotides) under uncultured Glomeromycotina. RNAcentral's name for it is "partial small subunit ribosomal RNA". It matches the Rfam family "Eukaryotic small subunit ribosomal RNA", at positions 591 to 1092 of the family's 1831-position model. Lineage: Eukaryota; Fungi; Glomeromycota. The record is from RNAcentral.
CCAAUAGCGUAUAUUAAAGUUGUUGCAGUUAAAAAGCUCGUAGUUGAAUUUCGGAGUUUGUCGGUUGGUCGGGCUUCACUGUCCGCACUGGCCUGAUGGAUUCCUACCUUCUGAAUAACCAGCAUGCUAUUAAGUUAGUGCGUUGGGGAAGCAGAGCUAUUACCUUGAAAAAAUUAGAGUGCUUAAAGCAGGCUUUUGCUUGAAUAGAUUAGCAUGGAAUAAUAAAAUAGGACGGCAUGGUUCUAUUUUGUUGGUUUCUAGGAUCACCGUAAUGAUUAAUAGGGAUAGUUGGAGGCAUUAGUAUUCAAUUGUCAGAGGUGAAAUUCUUGGAUUUAUUGAAGACUAACUUCUGCGAAAGCAUUUGCCAAGGAUGUUUUCAUUAAUCAAGAACGAAAGUUAGGGGAUCGAAGACGAUCAGAUACCGUCGUAGUCUUAACCAUAAACUAUGCCGACUAGGGAUCGGACGAUGUUAAUUUUUUAAUGACUCGUUCGGCGCCUUACG